Herpailurus yagouaroundi (jaguarundi) is the source of this 1746-nucleotide long non-coding RNA. RefSeq lists it as uncharacterized. The transcript has 2 exons. Lineage: Eukaryota; Metazoa; Chordata; Mammalia; Carnivora; Felidae. The record is from RefSeq and is a predicted model, not a curated record.
CGCUCCCCAGGAGGACGAGAGGUGCCAAGCGGGGCUCUUCGCGACGCCCCGGGCAUCGCGGCGGCGGGCGGAGAGGAGGGGAAGGAGUCGGGACGGUUCGCCCUCCUCGGGCUUCGGGCAGAGGAGGCGCCGGGCUCCAAACUGCGGAGUCGAACGGGUGCAGAGUGAAGAAAUGGGACAGAGAGACAAAAAGUCCGAACCCCCCCGGCGCGGCCCCGUAAAAAAGAAAGGAGCCAAGUGAGCUCAAGCGAAGAGGGGGACAAAAAGAGACGGAGCUGGAGCGCGGGGACCCGCAGGGGCGAAACGGGAGUUCUGUUCUUUAUCCACUCUACGGGAACCACCACAGUUGCGGCCGCCAUCUUCCCCUCACUAGUAGCAGAAGCCCGGAUGUGUAGCACGCGAGCGAGGGGUCAAAGGGGAGCACCGCCCACGGGGAAUGCCGGGAGCUGCGAGUUCGGUUUUCGAUUUCCCGCCCCACUUUCCUCCCCACCCGCGGAAACCCGAGGCCCUGCUUCCAACCGGGUGGCUGAGACCCGUGGGUCCCUUUGCAGAGUGACUACGCCGACCGCGCCCCCUACAACCCUUGCCCUGUUGCCCUGGCAUCCCUUUAGAACAGGAAAAAGUGCCAUCCUCGGGCCGACUCAGCUUCUCUUCUUCCGUGAUACCUACUCCAGGCCACUAAUUCAAGCAUGUAUUUUUCAAGCGCCUAAUAUGUGCUAGGCACUGGGGGUAGAGAAGCAAUAAGCCACUGUGCCUACCCUCAGCGAGCUCACAGUCUGUGGGAAAGACGAGCAUAAGCAGAUCAGCUACAAUACACCCUACCAACUGCUGAGAAAAAAGAAAUUAAUCAGAAGAAGCAGCCAUUUACUAUGUGCUAGGCAUUAUGCUAAUACAAGGAAGACAAGCUAGCGAGGAAGAGAGAAAUUGACCCUUGGAAACCCUUGCUGACACCCUCUGUAAUCGGCUUCUGUCACUCUAACCUUACACAAGACUAGGGGGCGCAAGUACCAUAAGAAACAACUUGUUUACAUUACACCGUCUCAAAAGUAUCUCCCGACUAAAUACUAUUUCAAAGGCGAAAUAAAAACUUUACUGUGGGAAAACAUGGCGGACUCCGUCCUAACUAUGACGAAAAUCAGCACGCCCAGAAAUGGGCAUCAUGUGCCUCCUGAUAAGGUGCUAAGAAAAACACUAACCAAUUUUGUAGCGUUCAUCACGCCAAAAUUCGCAUACCCUGAAUUUAGUCAUGAGGGAGCAUCAAACAAACCCAUCUUGAGGGACAGUCUACAAAAAUAACUGGCUUGCUUGCACUCUUCAAAAUCGUCAAAGUCACUAAAGACAAAGAGACAUAUUGAGAAACUCCUCCGGAUUAAUAGAAACAACAGACAGGACAACUGAUCCCCAGCCAGAAAAAGAACAUUUUUGUUUUGCUAAAAAGGACAUUAUUGGGACAAUUGACAAAAUUUGAAUGUCUAUAGACUAAGUAAUAAUAUUAUAUCAAUGUAAAUUGCAUGAUUUUAAUACCUGUACUACGGUUAACGUGGAAGUCCUUGUUUAAGAAAAUACUCCGUGGAGUAUUUAGAGAUAAUGGGGCAUUACCUUGCAACUUACGCUAAGAUGUUUCAGAAGAAAACUGUAGGAUGAUUAAGCAAAUGUAAAAUGUUAACAUUUUAGGAGUCUGUGUGAAGGACAGGCAGGGAUUGUUCCAUUUGUGCAACUUUUCAAAAUAAAAAGGUUGUAAUGAUA